GGCAACUUAGCACCCUCUCUUUCCCCAUGUUACCGCGAUGCUCUUGGCAGGGACCAUUUGAUGGGGAUUCGGAUGUCUUCCUGGGGUGCCUUGUAUGACCUCUGAAAAUAUGACCUGAAGCAGAUGGAUGCACUCACAUAAGAAACAUCACCUGUGGCCUUCACUGAAAAUGGGCCUGCUGCUCUAAGAAGUUGGGCUCUUGGAGUUCUCUAGCACAGGGGCCAUGAAAAUCAAUGACUUCCUUGUUUGCUGAGGGAGCAGAGGUAGAAUCUCUUGGUGUUUCCACAGAGAAAACACUGACCGUGAAGAGCCAAGAAAGAUGACAUGAUGAAGCCAUCAGGGGAAGCACCAAACAUCCUCAACUCUGCUCACCCAUGGUUUUCUCCCGCCCUCCCAGAGCUCCUCCUGUGUGAGUAAUGCAGUGUGUGCUGGUGCAGUGUCUCACUGAAAAAAGAAAGAAACCCUGAUUUGCAGCAUUGGCCAAUUUCUGUAGUGUAAAUACUCCCACCAUAGCAGAUUUCAGGUUACCAAGGGUUUCACAACUGGUUCACAACUCUUGACUGUAAUGACCAGCUCAUGCAACUCCAGCAUCUCAUCAUCUCCGCCCUGUCCCAGAAAAUCCCCACAUCACACCCAGGCUGAAUAUCACUUUCAGCUUCUCAGUCAGAAGGAGAAGUGGUUAACUAUGCCAGGAUGGUAAUGACUAAAUAUCAGAAUGGUGAGUGUGGAGGGUCAGGAUAUCUGCCAAAUUGGAGAUGACUCUUCACUUCUCAAUCUUGGUGUCUCAUCUGGGGAAGUUGGAGGGAGACAUGCACAGCUUCUCAUGAACAGUCCUGGAAGCCCUUACCCCAAGGCCUCAUGGGGCUGUCUCCAGGGCUUGCUCUUUGUCACUCUCUCCUUUAAAAGCCUGUCAUUCAUUGCCAGAGAACAGAAGGCUCCAUCCUAAGGCCAAGUUGAAAACGGUAGGCUUGGGAGCUGUCUAGACUCUGGGUCCUGGCUUUUGUCUUGGCUGGUGUCAAAAUGAACUCUUUAAAAACUGGCCUCAGGAAGAUUCCCCAUCCAACUCUGAACAGCCUGGACUGAUCUUUUUCUGAUUUUUAGGGGUCUUGUGAACAAGAGUCAGGUAGGCGGGCAGCUCUUGUAAAGCUGAACAUAACCAAAUUUGUCCAUAGCCUGUGACAGCAAAGAUCACAAAACUCUUCCCUCCCCUUUAGGGCCUGGGAGUGACGCCGAACCAAGGGGAGGAUAGUGACCUAUUUUAUCUCCCAAACAUUGGGCAGCCAGUUGCAUUUGCAGAUUUAAAAUCCACCCACACUACUGCAGUUUCUGUUCUCCUGCCCCCACCGAGCAUACUUCUGGCUGGAGCUGGUUUUGUAAAGUGGAGUUGGCUGUGGGUGUGGGAGUCCUCCUCGGAGAGCCUGGUCUGACAGCCCCAGUCAACAGCCCUCCCAUGGGCAUUUGGGCUGCUCCAGUCCCGGCAGGUGCACAGCUCAGGGGA
This is a long non-coding RNA of Gorilla gorilla gorilla (western lowland gorilla), 1498 nucleotides long. RefSeq lists it as uncharacterized. The record is from RefSeq and is a predicted model, not a curated record. The transcript is spliced from 3 exons. NCBI's taxonomy places the organism in Eukaryota, Metazoa, Chordata, Mammalia, Primates, Hominidae.